CUAACGCAUUAAGCAUUCCCCCUGGGGAGUACGCCCGCAAGGUUGAAACUCAAAGGAAUUGACGGGGGCCCGCACAAGCGGUGGAGCAUGUGGUUUAAUUCGAAGCAACGCGAAGAACCUUACCAGGUCUUGACAUCUUUUGAUCACCUGAGAGAUCAGGUUUCCCCUUCGGGGGCAAAAUGACAGGUGGUGCAUGGUUGUCGUCAGCUCGUGUCGUGAGAUGUUGGGUUAAGUCCCGCAACGAGCGCAACCCUUAUGUCUAGUUGCCAGCAUUUAGUUGGGCCCUUUAGUAAGACUGCCGGUGACAAACCGGAGGAAGGUGGGGAUGACGUCAAAUCAUCAUGCCCCUUAUGACCUGGGCUACCCACGUGCUACAAUGGAUGGUACAACGAGUUGCGAGACCGCGAGGUCAAGCUAAUCUCUUAAAGCCAUUUUCAGUUCGGACUGUAGGCUGCAACUCGCCUACACGAAGUCGGAAUCGCUAGUAAUCGCGGAUCAGCACGCCGCGGUGAAUUCGUUCCCGGGCCUUGUACCCCCCCCCCGUCACCCCAUGAGAGUUUGUAACACCCGAAA
RNAcentral lists this ribosomal RNA (573 nucleotides) under Lacticaseibacillus sp. RNAcentral describes it as "bacterial SSU rRNA". It matches the Rfam family "Bacterial small subunit ribosomal RNA", at positions 852 to 1426 of the family's 1533-position model. The record is from RNAcentral. Lineage: Bacteria; Bacillati; Bacillota; Bacilli; Lactobacillales; Lactobacillaceae.